CCAUACCGCGUGCAGGAUGACGGCCCUCUGGAUUGUAAACUGCUUUUGAAUGGGAAGAAUGUGUGGCUUGCGAGCUAUAAUGACGGUACCAUUAGAAUAAGCCACGGCUAACUACGUGCCAGCAGCCGCGGUAAUACGUAGGUGGCGAGCGUUAUCCGGAUUUAUUGGGUUUAAAGGGUGCGUAGGCGGCUUAAUAAGUCGGUGGUUAAAAGUAGCAGCUUAACUGUUUUACAUGCCAUCGAUACUGUUGAGCUUGAGAUAUUUGGAGGCAGCUAGAAUUUCCGGUGUAGCGGUGAAAUGCAUAGAUACCGGAAGGAAUACCAAUUGCGAAGGCAGGUUGCUACGAAUAAACUGACGGUGAUGCACGAAAGCGUGGGGAUCAAACAGGAUUAGAUACCCUGGUAGUUCACGCCGUAAACGAUGAUUACUAGUUGUUGGGGGUUUAAGCCUCAGUGACCAAGGGAAACCGAUAAGUAAUCCACCUGGGGAGUAGGCCGGCAACGG
Molecule: ribosomal RNA, 504 nt
Filed under: uncultured Bacteroidota bacterium
Lineage: Bacteria; Pseudomonadati; Bacteroidota
Description: bacterial SSU rRNA
Rfam family: Bacterial small subunit ribosomal RNA
Source: RNAcentral